Cryptomeria japonica (Japanese cedar) is the source of this 537-nucleotide long non-coding RNA. RefSeq lists it as uncharacterized. Lineage: Eukaryota; Viridiplantae; Streptophyta; Pinopsida; Cupressales; Cupressaceae. The record is from RefSeq and is a predicted model, not a curated record. The transcript is spliced from 2 exons.
UAUACCCGUUUCACAUUUUAGUCUGGCAAAAAUCAUUAUAUCAUCAAAACCAAGUGUGUUGCACGGCGAUCAGUGUAAUCAAGUUGAUUUAGUACAGAAUUUUUUGCUACAGACGAUUCAGGGCUUCAUGAAGAUGUGGAGUACCAAAGGCUAGAGGCUAAUUCCAUGACAAGAUGAUCCAGCCAACGAGCCUCGCCGUUACAAUUGGACGCAGAAGAUACUAAAGAUGUUAAAGGGAAAUACUUCUUCCUCAAAGGGAUUGCAUGAUCAGAUUGACAUUGCUGAUCCUCAGUUAACAGCUAUAUGAACUUUUAUUGCUUUAUCAACAUACAUGCACCAUGUCUAUUAACAAGGUCAGAAAUGCCAAGGGGAUCUCAAGUGAAGGAUCCUUGGCAUCAAAACUAAGGCACAAAUGUUGUUAAUUGUUUGAAAGUGAGGGAAGUGCAGUAUAGAUGUUGUAACUGUUGUACAUGUAAAUUGGGAACUAACAAUGUAAAAGUAUUCUGUUAUGAAUUAUUUAGAAUAUGAUUUGAUGUA